AAUGAACGCUGGCGGCAGGCCUAACACAUGCAAGUCGAACGGAUCCUUCGGGAUUAGUGGCGGACGGGUGAGUAACGCGUGGGAACAUACCCAAAGGUACGGAAUAGCCUCGGGAAACUGGGAGUAAUACCGUAUGUGCUCGAAAGAGGAAAGAUUUAUCGCCUUUGGAUUGGCCCGCGUUGGAUUAGGUAGUUGGUGGGGUAAUGACCUACCAAGCCGACGAUCCAUAGCUGGUUUGAGAGGAUGAUCAGCCACACUGGGACUGAGACACGGCCCAGACUCCUACGGGAGGCAGCAGUGGGGAAUCUUAGACAAUGGGGGAAACCCUGAUCUAGCCAUGCCGCGUGAUCGAUGAAGGCCUUAGGGUUGUAAAGAUCUUUCAGGUGGGAAGAUAAUGACUGUACCACCAGAAGAAGCCCCGGCUAACUCCGUGCCAGCCGCCGCCAGUAA
This 450-nucleotide ribosomal RNA is filed under the name uncultured bacterium. Its description in RNAcentral is "partial 16S ribosomal RNA". It matches the Rfam family "Bacterial small subunit ribosomal RNA", at positions 29 to 523 of the family's 1533-position model. The record is from RNAcentral.